AAUAUACCUUUUUACCAGCAAUAGAAAAAAAUGACCACUAAAGUUCUAAUUGAAAGCGAAUGUUUCAAAUUUGUCCCUCCAUUUUUUCCCACAUCAAUCUUCCCUCCAAUUAUUUUUUAGGUCUUCUCUGUAUAUCACGAAAUUAUUUCAGAAAUAGGCUCUGUAAAGGCUAUCUUCGUUCAUGCUGCCCAACGCAUCUCUGUGUCACCAUAAUUGGCCACCAUCCUAGGUAACAUCAUCAUCUCUCUAUUCUCUCUCACCCCUCUCUAUAUACCCAUUAUCAACAACGAGGGGUAGCCUAUCCACAAAGAAUUGAGACUUGAGAGGUAUUUCUUUCAAAAAGAACUUAAACCUUUUUUGCAGUCGCGAAGCCAUUGACUUCAGGUCCCUGAUGGAGAAUGAAAUAUGUGAACUGAUAUCUUAUGUGUGAUUUUACUAUCGGUAUAUUAAAUGCUAGUCAACUAUGGCGAUUGAAAUCUGACUACUCUUCUUUGCAUAGUGGUAUUGAAUAUAUCCGGCAUUUUUGCGUUCAUGUAUGUGAUUUGAUGAUUUGCUUUCAUGGUUAUUUUACUUCCCAUACUAAUGAUGUGGGAAGUGUAUUUUGCAAUUUAGGUGUUCGAUGAAAUGCUUUUGCAGAUUUCUAACUCUUGUCUUCCAUUUUUUAAUGUUGAUUUCAGACGAUUUGUUAAUCUUUGACCGUUUCAAAUAGUCUGAUAGUGAACAUUUGUCCAUUUCCAAGUGAUUCAAAUAAGAAGGAGUUGAUAGGAGCUAGAACAUUAGCUAAAAGUAUCUCUAAAGGUGUGACUAAAUCUCAGAUAUUGCCUGCUUUUCCUAUUCUAAUUGCCCACACUUUAUCUUCAUGUUGCACUGCUUUUGAGUCUUUUGGGUUAGUGUAUUUGAUAAAAAUUCCAAGUGAUUCCACAUUUUCAGUAGGUAAGAAUGCAAAUUAAUUAUGUUUCAUCAAUCUAAAAAGCAUAUUUAUGUUUUCCUUCUUGAUCUUCUUAUAGUGGGCUUUUGUCUUUUAUCUAACUAUUUAUUUACUUAUCUUACCUUUCUCAUCAUUUCUAGAGAAUACGAUGACAAUUCUUGGGGUUACCAGAAGUUGAGGUAAUAGGAACAACAAUGACAAGGAGGCAUUAGAUGCUAUUGAGAAUGGUAUUUCAAUGGGUAUCUAGUUUGAUUGAGGUUUUCUGUUUCAUUUUUAUUUAUUUGUUUUCCUAUUUAAAACUUCUUCGUCAUAUGGAGUGUAUAUGUGGAUUAGAAGAUUGUUAUGGUUCAAUUUAGCACUUAUCAUAUGAUGUAUAUGAUACUCUGAUAUCAAGAAUUUGACCUUACUUAGCAAUAGGAAAAAGAAUAAUACUGAGUGCUAAGGUUAUUUGCCUCUAGCAGCUCAACCAUUAAGUUAGUAGUUCUAUUCUUGUUUAUGCCAAGAAAUUAAUAAUUGUAUAUUCCUGUAAGGCAGAGAGUCCUUUGUCUUGGUUAUUUGCUACUUGUCAUUUAUCUCAAUUUUAUGAGCAAUAAUUUCAAGAGCAAUAAACAUAUAAAAGUUAAAACAUCUUGGUUGGUUUUGCAGAAUAGUAUUGCAUUACCCUAAUUGAGAAAUGUAAUAAAGCUUUUACCUGUAGCUCUAUACGGGCUUUAGUUAACUUUUGGCAUAAAUUAUAUUUUGAAUCUUUUCUAUAUCUUCUUCGGUCUCAUUUUUGUUUUUACUUUCUUCUUUUUGGUCCUGGUUCUAACUUGAAAGUAGUUGAGAAUCAAAUCUUUUUCUUUUUUAGUUCCAAUGCCAUUAGAAAUCUUACGAGCUUAAAUUAGCUCACUCUUUUACUGUGAUAGCCAAUUGCCUCGUGAGUUCCUAUCUAUCUUAUUUAAACGGCUAGAAGCUCUCUCGGAUUCUAGGGAAGUUUUUGAAAAUAAUAUCUUGGAAAAUAUACAUGUUCUGUAUAUAAAUUAUAAUUUUCUUGUGUCACGUUUUCUGGGGUUGUGCUGCUACUAGUAGGAUAUUUAUGCAAGAAAAAGUAUUAAUAUACUCAAAUUAUUCAUUUUUUAUUUUUACUUGACCUUCAACAUUGUCCAGCCAAUAAUUUCACUAAAGAAGGGAUGCACAUCAAUUGAAGUAUGGUAAAAGAGGGAAGCCCAGAUUCUGUCCCCUCAUGGUAAAGCAUUUCAUGGAUCUCUUGUUCUUUUCACUCCUUAAGAAAAUUCUCAAAAUAAAUGGUAUCGUAUUUGGAAUAUAUAUCCAUAGAAUUAAUUGAAAAACUUGGCAUUUUCAUUGGGAAGAAGAUACAAUCAAUAUUCUUGGCAUUUUCCCAUUCAUAGUUUAUUGAAUCAAAUUUCUUGACAAAUCUUUGUAAACAUUGUACAUUAGCCAUUUAGACGUAGGACUCUACUUGUCCUUCUUUUUCUUCUACCAGUUCUAAGUUCCCUUUUGCUAGAAGUGCACUUUACAAGGAAUUGAUAAAAAUAUAAAUUCUAUACAUGUUGUCCUUGUUCCUGUAUAGGUUUUAAUAUAUUCAAAGAUAAAUGUGUUCUUUUUUGCUGUUGUUACUACAUGCAUAAAAGGACUAAAAUUUCUUUUUUGAAUUGUUAAUUGCUUUAUGACUAUUUUGUCUAUGUAGAUAUGGGCAUCAUUUGUGAUUUUCUUGCUUCUAAAUUUUGUUGGCGAGUCAUGUUUUAGCUGUGGUGAAAUCUAUUCUUAGAAGCUGUUUAGUUCUUCCUUUUUAGUCAUAAUCCAAUUCAGUCAGAGUAUAGUUCUCAAUUUUUCAUAUAAUCUGAAUCAUUUGACCCAUUUCAGAGGAGGAAGCAUUGUUCUGAGCAUCCUAAAAUUCAUAAAACUUUCUUACUCGAUGUAUAAACUGAUUUAGGUGUUGCAGUUGCUGAAAGUUUCAUUGCUCUCCAAGACUCUUUUGGGAAAUAUGAUAUUCUAAAGCUGGGGAAAACUCACGCACAAAGUGAGACAAGAAGGCCAUGUCUCAAAACUCAAAUAGCAUAAAGAAGGUUUUGUUCAGAAAUUUGGCUGUGGAAGAUUUCAAUGUCCUUGAGAGAGAAAGAAUUUUAUUGGUGCCACUUAUUGUCUAAUAUUUCAAUUAUUUGAUAACAGUUAUUAGAUGCACAAUUACACUAGUAUUGGAUUCAUAGUUUACUUUGUAUUUUUAUUUUGUUAUUGAUAUAAUUGAUAUUAUGGAUUAUAUGUUGUUU
RNAcentral lists this long non-coding RNA (3195 nucleotides) under Nicotiana tabacum (common tobacco). Its description in RNAcentral is "long non-coding RNA (NTAB_LNC003480)". The record is from RNAcentral. Lineage: Eukaryota; Viridiplantae; Streptophyta; Magnoliopsida; Solanales; Solanaceae.